RNAcentral lists this ribosomal RNA (1075 nucleotides) under invertebrate metagenome. RNAcentral's name for it is "bacterial SSU rRNA". It matches the Rfam family "Bacterial small subunit ribosomal RNA", at positions 8 to 1094 of the family's 1533-position model. The record is from RNAcentral.
AGAGUUUGAUCCUGGCUCAGGAUGAACGCUAGCGGUGCGUUUAAUACAUGCAAGUCGAACGUCCUUCACACUGUUCUUGAAUUUCGAGAGUGGCGUGAAGGGCGUGGCAGACGGCUGAGUAACACGUUGGAACCUGCCUUGUGCUCGAGGAUAACCCGGAGAAAUCCGGAAUAAUACUCGAUAGUUCUCUUCGGAGUAAAGCUCCGGCGGCACAAGAGGGGCCUGCGGCCUAUCAGUUAGUUGGUGAGGUAAAAGCUCACCAAGACAAUGACGGGUAGCUGGUGUGAGAGCACGACCAGCCAGAAUGGGACUGAGACACGGCCCAUACUCCUACGGGAGGCAGCAGUAAAGAAUCUUCCGCAAUGGGCGAAAGCCUGACGGAGCGACACCGCGUGAGGGAUGAAGUCCUAACGGACGUAAACCUCUUUUGUGUGGGAGCAAAUUUUUGAGUCAACCACACGAAUAAGCACCGGCUAAUCUCGUGCCAGCAGCCGCGGUAAUACGAGAGGUGCAAGCGUUAUCCGGAAUCACUGGGCGUAAAGGGUCCGCAGCCGGGAAUACAAGUUUGGAGUGAAAUUUCAGAGCCCAACUCUGAAAGCGUUCCGAAAACUGUAUUUCUAGAGUGCGACAGAGGCAGGGGGAAUUCCGAUUGUAGGGGUAAAAUCCGUAGAUAAUCGGAGGAACACCAAAUGCGAAGGCACCUUGCUGGGUCGAUACUGACGGUCAGGGACGAAAGCGUGGGGAGCGAAGGGGAUUAGAUACCCCCGUAGUCCACGCCCUAAACGAUGUGUGCUCGGUGUUGGGAGUUUUCAAUUGCUCUCAGUGCCCUAAGCUAACGCGGUAAGCACACCGCCUGAGUAGUACGGCCGCAAGGCUAAAACUUAAAGGAAUAGACGGGGACCCACACAAGCGGUGGAGCGUGGGGUUUAAUUCGAUGAUAAGCGGAGCACCUCACCCAGACUUGACAUCCCGAGAAUCAACUGGAAACAGAUGAGUGCCGCAAGGAACUCGGUGACAGGUGAUGCACGGUCGUCGUCAGCUCGUGUCUUGAGAUGUACUGUUAAGUCAGCAAACG